AAAGCCACUAAGCUUCAGCUACACACGACCGUACCGCAAACCGACACUGGUGCGCGAGAUGAGUAUUCUAAGGCGCUUGAGAGAACUCGGGAGAAGGAACUCGGCAAAUUGACACCGUAACUUCGGAAGAAGGUGUGCCCUAGUAGUGUGAAGUGAACAACGGAGCAUGAAUGGGUUGCAAAAAAUCGGUGGCUGCGACUGUUUAUUAAAAACACAGCACUCUGCAAACACGAAAGUGGACGUAUAGGGUGUGACGCCUGCCCGGUGCUGGAAGAUUAAAUGAUGGGGUGCAAGCUCUUGAUUGAAGUCCCAGUAAACGGCGGCCGUAACAAUAACGGUCCUAAGGUAGCGAAAUUCCUUGUCGGGUAAGUUCCGACCUGCACGAAUGGCGUAACGAUGGCCACACUGUCUCCUCCCGAGACUCAGCGAAGUUGAAAUGUUUGUGAUGAUGCAAUCUCCCCGCGGAAAGACGGAAAGACCCCAUGAACCUUUACUGUAGCUUUGUAUUGGACUUUGAACAGAUCUGUGUAGGAUAGGUGGGAGGCUUUGAAGCAGGGUCGCUAGAUCUUGUGGAGCCAACGUUGAAAUACCACCCUGGUGUGUUUGAGGUUCUAACCUAGGUCCAUUAUCUGGAUCGGGGACAGUGCAUGGUAGGCAGUUUGACUGGGGCGGUCUCCUCCCAAAGCGUAACGGAGGAGUUCGAAGGUACGCUAGUUACGGUCGGACAUCGUGACGAUAGUGCAAUGGCAUAAGCGUGCUUAACUGCGUACUGACAAGUCGAGCAGAUGCGAAAGCAGGACAUAGUGAUCCGGUGGUUCUGUAUGGAAUGGCCAUCGCUCAACGGAUAAAAGGUACUCUGGGGAUAACAGGCUGAUACCGCCCAAGAGUUCAUAUCGACGGCGGUGUUUGGCACCUCGAUGUCGGCUCAUCUCAUCCUGGGGCUGUAGCCGGUCCCAAGGGUAUGGCUGUUCGCCAUUUAAAGAGGUACGUGAGCUGGGUUUAAAACGUCGUGAGACAGUUUGGUCCCUAUCUUCCGUGGGCGCUGCAGAUUUGAGGAAGCCUGCUCCUAGUACGAGAGGACCGGAGUGGACGCACCUCUGGUGUAUCGGUUGUCACGCCAGUGGCAUUGCCGAGUAGCUAUGUGCGGAAGAGAUAACCGCUGAAAGCAUCUAAGCGGGAAACUCGUUCCAAGAUGAGAUCUGCCGGGGCCUUGAGCCCCCUAAAGAGUCGUUCAAGACCAGGACGUUGAUAGGUCAGGUGUGGAAGCGCAGUAAUGCGUUAAGCUAACUGAUACUAAUUGCUCGUGCGGCUUGACCCG
This 1318-nucleotide ribosomal RNA is filed under the name metagenome. Its description in RNAcentral is "bacterial LSU rRNA". It matches the Rfam family "Bacterial large subunit ribosomal RNA", at positions 1614 to 2925 of the family's 2925-position model. The record is from RNAcentral.